RNAcentral lists this ribosomal RNA (831 nucleotides) under uncultured bacterium. RNAcentral's name for it is "bacterial SSU rRNA". It matches the Rfam family "Bacterial small subunit ribosomal RNA", at positions 9 to 873 of the family's 1533-position model. The record is from RNAcentral.
AGAGUUUGAUCCUGGCUCAGAACGAACGCUGGCGGCAGGCUUAACACAUGCAAGUCGAACGCCCCGCAAGGGGAGUGGCAGACGGGUGAGUAACGCGUGGGAAUGUGCCCCAAGGUACGGAACAACAGCGGGAAACUGCUGCUAAUACCGUAUGUGACCGAGAGGUGAAAGAUUUAUCGCCUUGGGAUCAGCCCGCGUUAGAUUAGGUAGUUGGCGGGGUAAUGGCCCACCAAGCCUACGAUCUAUAGCUGGUCUGAGAGGAUGAUCAGCCACACUGGGACUGAGACACGGCCCAGACUCCUACGGGAGGCAGCAGUGGGGAAUCUUGGACAAUGGGCGCAAGCCUGAUCCAGCCAUGCCGCGUGAAUGAUGAAGGCCUUAGGGUUGUAAAGUUCUUUCGUCGGGGACGAUAAUGACGGUACCCGAAGAAGAAGCCCCGGCUAACUUCGUGCCAGCAGCCGCGGUAAUACGAAGGGGGCUAGCGUUGUUCGGAAUUACUGGGCGUAAAGCGCGUGUAGGCGGAUUUUUAAGUCGGGGGUGAAAUCCCAGAGCUCAACUCUGGAACUGCCUUCGAUACUGGGAAUCUGGACCCAAGUAGAGGCGAGUGGAAUUGCGAGUGUAGAGGUGAAAUUCGUAGAUAUUCGCAGGAACACCAGUGGCGAAGGCGACUCGCUGGACUUGUGGUGACGCUGAGACGCGAAAGCGUGGGUAGCAAACAGGAUUAGAUACCCUGGUAGUCCACGCCGUAAACGAUGAGAGCUAGUUGUCAGUAAGCAUGCUUAUUGGUGACGCAGCUAACGCAUUAAGCUCUCCGCCUGGGAGACGGCCAAG